CAGAGUUCAUGCCCUUCGGGGUAGAUCUCCACCCUAUGUAUUUAUACUCUUGUUGCUUUGGCAGGCCGUCGGGCUCCGGCCUGGCCACCGGCUCCUCGCUGGUGCGCGCCUGCCAGAGGCCUUCAAACUCUGAAUGUUAGUGUCGUCUGAGUACUAUAUAAUAGUUA
RNAcentral lists this unclassified non-coding RNA (167 nucleotides) under uncultured Helotiales. Its description in RNAcentral is "sequence contains ITS1". Lineage: Eukaryota; Fungi; Ascomycota; Leotiomycetes; Helotiales. The record is from RNAcentral.